Molecule: small nucleolar RNA, 80 nt
Organism: Arvicanthis niloticus (Nile rat)
Lineage: Eukaryota; Metazoa; Chordata; Mammalia; Rodentia; Muridae
Product: small nucleolar RNA SNORD121A
Source: RefSeq, a predicted model, not a curated record
CUGGAAAAGGCAGUGAUGUUUCCAAGCACAUAUCUGAUUUGUAUGUGUGGAUGGUAAUGGUGCUACUGAGUCUUUUCCAA